ACUUAGUACACCAUAAACUCAAGACAGGUCCAUUGCAUUUUACUGGAAUUCCUGAUUUUACAGAAGAGGGAACCUUGGUUUUUUUCUCCAGUUUUCCUGUAAGCUAUGCUCAUAGCUCGCGGAAAGAUAGAAGAUAAGUUUUACAGGUGGAUUUGGGUGCCACCGAGGACUAUUCUAGCUCAGUCUCAUCGCAGCCGACCGGAGGCACGACGAUCCCGAGACGUGCGGCGUAAGUUAUCCGGCCCUCGGCACGGCCAUAAGCAGAG
Grus americana (Whooping crane) is the source of this 266-nucleotide long non-coding RNA. RefSeq lists it as uncharacterized. Lineage: Eukaryota; Metazoa; Chordata; Aves; Gruiformes; Gruidae. The transcript has 4 exons. The record is from RefSeq and is a predicted model, not a curated record.